GAGCGUUGAUGAAUGCACGUUUGCUUUCUGACACCUCUUAUGUUAGCGGUCAUUUCCGGGCUGCAAUGAUUCCAAAUUGAAUUCUGAGCUC
RNAcentral lists this small nucleolar RNA (91 nucleotides) under Oesophagostomum dentatum (nodular worm). RNAcentral describes it as "Small nucleolar RNA sn2903". It matches the Rfam family "Small nucleolar RNA sn2903". Lineage: Eukaryota; Metazoa; Nematoda; Chromadorea; Rhabditida; Strongylidae. The record is from Rfam by way of RNAcentral.